Molecule: transfer RNA, 72 nt
Filed under: Camelus bactrianus (Bactrian camel)
Lineage: Eukaryota; Metazoa; Chordata; Mammalia; Artiodactyla; Camelidae
Also listed under: 2 other names
Rfam family: tRNA
About the family: Transfer RNA (tRNA) molecules are approximately 80 nucleotides in length. Their secondary structure includes four short double-helical elements and three loops (D, anti-codon, and T loops).
Source: Rfam by way of RNAcentral
GGGGGUGUAGCUCAGUGGUAGAGCAGAUGCUUAGCAUGCACAAGGUCCUGGGUUCAAUCCCCAGUACAUCCA